GGAAAAAGAAGUAGGCGCAAUGAGGAGUCAUGUUCAUUCACAAGCUCUAACAGAGAAAGUUGGGGCAGAUGUUCAUCUUUAGGUGCAGCCAGUGAUGAAUUAUUCUCAGGCGAUAAUAAUGAUAAGCAGAUAUGAGCCCUUGGGCCUCCAGUUCGGGCAACAAGCAUAUGGCAAAGAGAGUGAGGGGGCAUGAUAUUGUUUUCCAAUUCCAACAGACUGUGAUGAUGUGUAGAGGCAAAGGAUCCUUUAGAGUUCAUCACUCAUCGAGCCAAAGAUUUUGUGUCAAGCAUGAAGGACAUUGAAACCCGGUUUAUGUGUAUAGUUGAAGCAGGAAAUAAGGUUUCUAGAAUGCUUGAAACCAAGAAGAUCUUGCUUGACAUAUGUGCUAAAAUACCAGGAUUCUAGGUUCUCCAGUUAAGCUACCUACUGCCCGAUUGUGUCAGCACUUCAAGUGUGCUGCAAUUGUGAUGUUAUUCUCAACCAUGGUAACCAGGGAUGAGGAAGUUGUUGGACUUUGAUGAACCUAGAACUCUUGCACCAACUUGUCUUUUUGUUGGAGGUACAAAAUACAUGGUGAUCCAAGGUGAACCUAGAGUGGUCAUCCGAGGAAAGAAGAAUAUUUUGCCAGUGAUGACGUGUGUUUAGAGGAUGGGAUCCCUGCAAUUGUCAAACAAGGCAAGUGAGAUGUACAUGUAGUGUUCGGAUUGUCGGUGUUCAGUGUUUAUCAUCUUUGCUUAUCGUGGCUUCUUUUUCUAUUAGGAGAUGAGAGACCCCUUGAAUUGCUUGCAAAAGCAUAUGCUAUCAAAUCUUUUGACAUAGAUCCCAGAACCCCUCUGAUGUUGUUUUCACGUUAGAAUGGGAAUCAAUCGGUGUCCUACCUUGUGGCGAGAUGGCGAGAAGAAAGAUAAUUUUUACUACCAAGGGAUCUUAAUCAGAAUUCUAGGCUCAUUCAUACAUUCACUACAAUGCCUUCGAACUCAUGAACAUUUAUCUCUGGCUCUAUUGUGGUGGGUUACAUGAAUAGAGUUUUUGCAUGUUCUUCGUUUUAUAUGGUGACAUACUUGUUACUAUGUGACAUUGUUUGAUGAAACCCUUGCGGCAUUGUAUUAUUUAUUUUGUUCUAUAUAGUCUUAACAUUUUAUCAAAUAAAAAUUUAUGUGACGUCA
Molecule: long non-coding RNA, 1166 nt
Organism: Zea mays
Lineage: Eukaryota; Viridiplantae; Streptophyta; Magnoliopsida; Poales; Poaceae
Exons: 7
Source: RefSeq, a predicted model, not a curated record